UACAGAGGUGGCAAGCGUUGUUCGGAAUUACUGGGCGUAAAGGGCGCGUAGGCGGUUCGUUAAGUCCUGUGUGAAAUCCCCCGGCUCAACUGAGGAACUGCACAGGAAACUAGCGGGCUUGAGUUCGGGAGAGGGAAGCGGAAUUCCGGGUGUAGCGGUGAAAUGCGUAGAUAUCCGGAGGAACACCGGUGGCGAAGGCGGCUUCCUGGACCGACACUGACGCUGAGGCGCGAAAGCUAGGGGAGCAAACGGG
This 253-nucleotide ribosomal RNA is filed under the name uncultured bacterium. Its description in RNAcentral is "partial 16S ribosomal RNA". It matches the Rfam family "Bacterial small subunit ribosomal RNA", at positions 524 to 776 of the family's 1533-position model. The record is from RNAcentral.